This 253-nucleotide ribosomal RNA is filed under the name uncultured bacterium. RNAcentral describes it as "partial 16S ribosomal RNA". It matches the Rfam family "Bacterial small subunit ribosomal RNA", at positions 524 to 776 of the family's 1533-position model. The record is from RNAcentral.
UACAGAGGCCUCGAGCGUUAGGCGGAAUCACUGGGCUUAAAGCGCGUGUAGGCGGACCGUUAAGUGCCUUGUGAAAUCCCACGGCUCAACCGUGGAACCGCUGGGCAUACUGGCGGUCUUGGGCCACUCAGGGGCAACCGGAACAAGCGGUGGAGCGGUGAAAUGCGUAGAUAUCGCUUGGAACGCCAAAGGUGAAGACAGGUUGCUGGGGGUGUGCCGACGCUGAGACGCGAAAGCCAGGGGAGCGAACGGG